Musa acuminata subsp. malaccensis (wild Malaysian banana) is the source of this 464-nucleotide non-coding RNA. Lineage: Eukaryota; Viridiplantae; Streptophyta; Magnoliopsida; Zingiberales; Musaceae. The record is from RefSeq and is a predicted model, not a curated record.
CACCGCUCUCGAUCCCGUCUCCAAUGCCUUUCUUGAUUGAAUCCAAGUUCUUUUCGCGAAAUCUCUGUGUUUUUCUUUUGCAUCCAUGAGUGACACCGACUGAUCUCAAGUUUCGUGUGAUCUUUCGAGGGUUUCUUCAUUUGUUGUGUUUUUCUUUUUCUUUCGUUCUAUAAGAUCCGUUCGUAGGGUUCUUCAUUUUGUUUGUCUCACCGUAGGUUGAAGUGGAGAUUUCGCUGACGUGUUUGGAAAAUUGGUAUCGUGGGUUUCUUGUCUUCGAGGACUUGUGUAUCGAGCUCCCUCUUCUGAAGUGGAACUUUGAGGAUGCAUUUUGGCAGAACAGAACCAUAUUUCAAGCUUGCGGCCGCUGGGUUGUUGUAUUUCUAAUUUGUUUUUCUUUUGCAUCAAUUUAGCUUUUUUUAUAAAUUAUGUUUUUUCUCUAAUAGAAAAUGUAGGAUUUUGUUGCU